This 1090-nucleotide unclassified non-coding RNA is filed under the name Portunus trituberculatus (swimming crab). Its description in RNAcentral is "uncharacterized LOC123502133, transcript variant X2". The record is from RNAcentral. Lineage: Eukaryota; Metazoa; Arthropoda; Malacostraca; Decapoda; Portunidae.
CUUUAGGAUAGUCCAGUCCAAUCCAUCAUUCCAUAUACCAAGGGAGGUCGUUUCAAAAGCACCACCUCGCAACCAGAACCGCAUUGUGGCCCAAAUACGCCCUGGACCCAAGCAACCCCAUCGCCCGGCUCACGGUGUUCAUGUGUUCCAUAAAGGUGCGCCAGGUGUCAGGGUCCACACACCUGCCCGCCCACCUGUCCACACAUCUGCCCGCCCACCUGUCCGCACACCUGUCCAAACAACUAUCCACACACCUGUCCAAACAACUGUUCACACACCUGCCCGCCCACCUGUCCACACAUCUGCCCGCCCACCUGUCCACACACCUGUCCAAACACCUGUCCUUACCACACACUGCUCCACGUUCCGUCCCGGUGCAUGGGACAUAUCGCAAGAGCCAGUAUCAUUUCUCGUGGAAGGCUCAACCGGGACGAGUAUUCACAUGGAGUAAGGGGGACGAGUACUGCACCUCACUGGGUCCGGGCUGGGAGCUAGUAAGCCUCGAGCUGCCUGACGAGAACUUCUACAUUAGCCAGGUCGUUGCCAGAGAGAACAUUAAGUACAUCUGGCUGGGAGGCUUUCGAGAACCAGGCUCCAGGUUCUUCGUGUGGCUGUCUGGAGGCGCCUUCAAGGGAUACAACUGGAGCUCAACUGGAGGGAGAGGCGUCCCACAGCCAGACAACAGAGAGGGCAACGAGUAUUACAUAGCGCUCCUCAACAACAUCUACAAGGACGGUAUUAAGUGGCAUGACAUCGCUAACUCUCACGAAAAGCCUGUGAUUUGUGAGAGGAUGAACCUUGGUGCCCACAAUGCCUGAGUGUUGAGUGACUGACUGACUGGUGGAGCAAUGAUAGUCAAAAGUGGCGCAUGCUGUGAUGUGUUUUAGCUAUUUGUUUACAUAGAGAGUGUGUGAGUGAGAUAGGAAGAUUGAUUUAGUUGGUUUAUUAGUAGUAGAGUGACUAAAAAGAGAGAAAGAGGGAUGUUUUGAAAUAUUUAGUCAUUUUCAAGAGAGAGAGAGAGAGAGAGAGAGAGAGAGAGAGAGAGAGAGAGAGAGAGAGAGAGAGAGAGAGAGAGAGAGAGAGAGAGAGA